GGGGUUGUGGCUCAGAGGUAGAGUGCUCACCUACCAUCUGUGAGGAACUAGGUUCAAUCCUCAGCACCA
This 69-nucleotide transfer RNA is filed under the name Marmota marmota marmota (Alpine marmot). It matches the Rfam family "tRNA". Rfam says of the family: Transfer RNA (tRNA) molecules are approximately 80 nucleotides in length. Their secondary structure includes four short double-helical elements and three loops (D, anti-codon, and T loops). The record is from Rfam by way of RNAcentral. RNAcentral also lists the same sequence under 1 other name. Lineage: Eukaryota; Metazoa; Chordata; Mammalia; Rodentia; Sciuridae.